Molecule: ribosomal RNA, 406 nt
Filed under: uncultured bacterium
Lineage: Bacteria
Description: partial 16S ribosomal RNA
Rfam family: Bacterial small subunit ribosomal RNA
Source: RNAcentral
AUUGAACGCUGGCGGCAGGCCUAACACAUGCAAGUCGAACGAGUGGCGGACGGGUGAGUAAUGUCUGGGAAACUGCCUGAUGGAGGGGGAUAACUACUGGAAACGGUAGCUAAUACCGCAUACCAUCGGAUGUGCCCAGAUGGGAUUAGAUAGUAGGUGGGGUAAAGGCGCACCUAGGCGACGAUCCCUAGCUGGUCUGAGAGGAUGACCAGCCACACGGGAACUUAGACACGGUCCAGAUUCCUACGGUAGGCAGCAGUGGGGAAUAUUGCACAAUGGUCGCAAGCCUGAUGCAGCCAUGCCGCGUGUAUGAAGAAGGCCUUCGGGUUGUAAAGUACUUUCAGCGGGGAGGCGUUACUCGCAGAAGAAGCACCGGCUAACUCCGUGCCAGCAGCCGCGGUAAUAC